This 207-nucleotide ribosomal RNA is filed under the name uncultured bacterium. Its description in RNAcentral is "partial 16S ribosomal RNA". It matches the Rfam family "Bacterial small subunit ribosomal RNA", at positions 568 to 774 of the family's 1533-position model. The record is from RNAcentral.
UGCGCAGGCGGUUUUGUAAGCCAGAUGUGAAAUCCCCGGGCUCAACCUGGGAAUGGCAUUUGGGACUGCAAGGCUGGAGUGUGGCAGAGGAGACUGGAAUUCCCGGUGUAGCAGUGAAAUGCGUAGAUAUCGGGAGGAAUACCGAUGGCGAAGGCAGGUCUCUGGGCUUACACUGACGCUCAUGCACGAAAGCGUGGGGAGCAAACA